RNAcentral lists this transfer RNA (83 nucleotides) under Mesorhizobium sp. B2-4-17. Its description in RNAcentral is "tRNA-Glu". The record is from RNAcentral. Lineage: Bacteria; Pseudomonadati; Pseudomonadota; Alphaproteobacteria; Hyphomicrobiales; Phyllobacteriaceae.
GCGCACUUUGCCGAACUUGAAAGCCUCGAAAAACCCGCCCUCUCACGGCGGGAACAGGGGUUCGAUUCCCCUUGGGCGUACCA